RNAcentral lists this unclassified non-coding RNA (219 nucleotides) under uncultured Hygrocybe. Its description in RNAcentral is "sequence contains ITS1". The record is from RNAcentral. Lineage: Eukaryota; Fungi; Basidiomycota; Agaricomycetes; Agaricales; Hygrophoraceae.
UCGAAUCCUUAGGAUGUUGCUGGCCUCUCUCGGGAGGCAAUGUGCACUCUCCAAGACAAUUCACGAUUUCCAUCACACCCCUUGUGCACAUCCUGUAGGGCAAUGCCACCCCCUCUCAAAGUUGGGGCUGUUGUCCUAUGUAUUCUCUCAUCUCACACAUUUUGAAUGGUGCUCUUGGAUGCAUCUUGUGGAUUAUUUGUAACAAAGUAAUCAUAAAAA